RNAcentral lists this ribosomal RNA (443 nucleotides) under uncultured bacterium. RNAcentral's name for it is "partial 16S ribosomal RNA". It matches the Rfam family "Bacterial small subunit ribosomal RNA", at positions 338 to 795 of the family's 1533-position model. The record is from RNAcentral.
CCUACGGGAGGCAGCAGUGGGGGAUAUUGGACAAUGGGGGAAACCCUGAUCCAGCGACGCCGCGUGAGUGAAGAAGUAUUUCGGUAUGUAAAGCUCUGUCAGCAGGGAAGAAAGAAAUGACGGUACCUGACCAAGAAGCCCAGGCUAACUACGUGCCAGCAGCCGCGGUAAUACGUAGGGGGCAAGCGUUAGCCGGAAUUACUGGGUGUAAAGGGAGCGUAGACGGUGAUGCAAGACUGGAGUGAAAGGCGGGGGCCCAACCCCCGGACUGCUCUGGAAACUGUGUAACUUGAGUGCAGGAGAGGUGAGCAGAAUUCCAAGUGUAGCGGGGAAAUGCGUAGAUAUUAGGAGGAACACCAGUGGCGAAGGCGGCUUACUGGACUAUAACUGACGUUGAGGCUCGAAAGCGUGGGGAGCAAACAGGAUUAGAUACCCGAGUAGUC